AAAAGUUCGUUUCAGUUUUUCCAUAACAUUUUACAGAAAACCCAAAUGAACUUUUUGG
Molecule: microRNA precursor, 58 nt
Filed under: Bos taurus (domestic cattle)
Lineage: Eukaryota; Metazoa; Chordata; Mammalia; Artiodactyla; Bovidae
Description: microRNA bta-mir-2285ad precursor
Source: miRBase by way of RNAcentral